This 217-nucleotide long non-coding RNA is filed under the name Ananas comosus (pineapple). RNAcentral describes it as "long non-coding RNA (ACOM_LNC018788)". The record is from RNAcentral. Lineage: Eukaryota; Viridiplantae; Streptophyta; Magnoliopsida; Poales; Bromeliaceae.
GAAGAGUAUUAUAUUUUACAUUUCUUAUCUAAACUAUUUAUUAAAAUUUUAUAUUAAAGAUCAAAUCUUGAUCAUAUAGGUUAGAUGUGCUUUGAAAUUUAGUUAUCGACUUUAAUUUUGCGUUUCUGAUUUGUGGAUAGUUUUGAGAUACGAUAAAUUUAAAAAAAAAAAUUUGUGAAAAAAAAAUAAAUAUUUGUGUUAGGUAGCAAAAGGCUUA